This 253-nucleotide ribosomal RNA is filed under the name uncultured bacterium. RNAcentral describes it as "partial 16S ribosomal RNA". It matches the Rfam family "Bacterial small subunit ribosomal RNA", at positions 524 to 776 of the family's 1533-position model. The record is from RNAcentral.
UACGAAGGGGGCUAGCGUUGUUCGGAAUUACUGGGCGUAAAGGGCGCGUAGGCGGUGUGUCAAGUCAGGCGUGAAAGCCCCGGGCUCAACCUGGGAACCGCGCUUGAGACUGGCACGCUAGAGUUCGGGAGAGGAUGGUGGAAUUCCCAGUGUAGAGGUGAAAUUCGUAGAUAUUGGGAAGAACACCGGUGGCGAAGGCGGCCCACUGGAUCGGUACUGACGCUGAGGUGCGAAAGCGUGGGGAGCAAACAGG